This is a long non-coding RNA of Thalassophryne amazonica, 115 nucleotides long. RefSeq lists it as uncharacterized. The record is from RefSeq and is a predicted model, not a curated record. NCBI's taxonomy places the organism in Eukaryota, Metazoa, Chordata, Actinopteri, Batrachoidiformes, Batrachoididae. The transcript is spliced from 4 exons.
UAUUUUAUAUUAUUCUAAUUUAUCCAGGUCAGUCUGUGUAAAUUCCUUUUCAAUACUCUGCAUUUAUGAAUAUGGAAUUUACCAACCAAUAUUAAAAGGUUGACAAUGUGUUCAA